UCCAGGCUUCCAUUACAAAACCCAGUGGAUUUGUUUUGUAAAACAAUAAUUUGGAAGGACAACAUUUCAGCUAUACCACCUAAAACAAUGACGGUUGGAGCAGUGGGAAGAGCAAGAAGUAACUGAAUUUUGAUGUGCUAGAAGAUCCUUGUUUUGCCAGAAAGUUCCAGAUUUCUGCUGUCCAGGGAAGUCAGUCUGUCCUCUCUAGAAUUACCACACCCGGCACUUCUUUUCUGGAUUCAUAUAAU
Vombatus ursinus (common wombat) is the source of this 248-nucleotide long non-coding RNA. RefSeq lists it as uncharacterized. The transcript has 3 exons. The record is from RefSeq and is a predicted model, not a curated record. Lineage: Eukaryota; Metazoa; Chordata; Mammalia; Diprotodontia; Vombatidae.